GUUCUUAGGAAUCCAGAGUGCCCUGCUGAAGGUAUGGAGUGCAUUUCAUGCAAGAUGAUUGCGAUGCAAGGGGAGUCAAGUAUAAGCACAAUGCGACCUUUGUAGCGUAGAUCCCUCGAAUCCCAAGUGUAGUGGGCUAUUGCACUUGGAUCCUCCUCCAAUUUUUUUAUGAUGUUGCUGAUCUCUGGAUCCUUCUUCCAUUCUUCCCUAAUGUCCUCGAGGAGACCGGUGGUAGGAAGGGAGAUGGCUGAAACCUCAGCUUGUUCAAGUAGCCGUGAGAGUGCAUCUACAACAACGUUUUCUUUCCCCUUUUUGUAAAUAAUUUCAUAAUCAAAUCCAAGAAGUUUGGUUAUCCAUUUUUGCUGC
RNAcentral lists this long non-coding RNA (366 nucleotides) under Musa acuminata (dwarf banana). RNAcentral describes it as "long non-coding RNA (MACU_LNC011898)". Lineage: Eukaryota; Viridiplantae; Streptophyta; Magnoliopsida; Zingiberales; Musaceae. The record is from RNAcentral.